CACUCUUGAACAGAUUUCUCGGUGUUCCACUUUCUAUUCGCCACGUCGAACACGACUGCCAAACAUACCGUGUGCCUCAGCUUCGCUCUCUCUUUGACUUUUUCUUAUUGCCUUCCUCCUUUUUUUUUGCCUCGUCUUUUCCUUGUUUCGCCGCUUCGUUUCGCACACAUCCCCCUUUUUUUUUGUGUGUGCAGCUCUCACAAGUCCCUCUCUCCUCCCACUCCUCCGAGCCUUCCUCAUCUCCCCUCUCGUUGCUUCCUGUUAUCUUUUUUUUUUCGUUUUUUUUUUUGUUUCUUUCUCAUCACGGUCUAAAAUAGAAAUUGAAGGUGCUAUUAAGCACAUUGUAUCCACAUCCUUGACUUGUGUCUGUGUGUGCGUGAGUGUGUUUCUCUUUCCUUCUUUGUCGUCGUUCUCUUUCUCUCUCCGAAUGUUUUUGUUCUCUUUCUGCAUUCUUUCUCAUCUUCGCUGUUGGUAGCUGACGCGCCGACUCACACCGUGCCUACACUCCUACGGUUAUACGCUCACAGACACAGGCAUUGCCUACUUGCUCCAUUCUCCUCCAAACUCUGCCCCUCACUGCAACAAAAAAAAGAAAAACCAGAAAGGCUAAAAAAAUACACGCACACACACACGCGAUCAGGAGCGCAUUCCUCCUCUUUUUUUAUUAGGGAUCUGGACAUUGUGGUGGAUCCUCUUUUUUUCUCGUAUAGUUUCCGUUUUCGCGCAUCUUUUGCUCUCUUUCCGUCCACGUUCUUCUUCGUCCCUUUUACCCCGGCCUCUCCUGCCUCCCCCCUCACGCACACACUCGCUUACACCGCCUUCCGCUCUCUCUUAGUUUCGUCUUUCGGUUCUUCCGUCUGCAUUCUCUGUGAGCAGCUACUCAUCCCCGCAUAUACAACGGCGGAAACGAAAGAAGCAGCACGGGCACAUCAGCGUACAACUACACGCACUUUACACCCCCAAACAGAGGACGAUCCCUCCUCCCCUUCCUGCUCCAACAACAACAAAAAUGGGCUGCAUUUCCGGGAUAAUAUUCGGCAUCCUCCAGUUUGUGGCGCUACUCUUCAUCGCUGUUGGCACCCCGCUGGCGAUGUACAUGCCACUGAACGACAAUGCUCUCCACAUCCACAACGGCUACUGCAUUUCGCUGUGGGGGAUUCGCGAUAGAUGCUUGAUAUUGCUGUACUCGGUUAGUCCUAACGAUGUCUGGGCUGAGUGCAACGGCCGCGUGGGUCGCUUCAAAACGGCGCAGGUGUGCGCCAUUGCGGGUGCCGUCAUCCUCGCUGCUUCGAUGCUGGGAAGCUUUCUGGAUGCGUGCUGCUGCUACUGCAUCAAGUACGUGUGUGUUUUGCUGAACUUACUGGCCGCGGCUCUGCUUGCAGUCAGCUGGGGCUGCAUGCUGGAUUGCUAUGUGCAUAAUCAAGGUAGCCAUAUUGUCGGUAACGUGGACGUGUGCACGCAAAUGCGCAACUUCACCGGCGUUGAUAACGCACACCCCGAGGGAAUGCAGCUAGGCGCUGGUUUUGCUCUUCUCAUUGCCGCCUUCGUUAUCAGCUUCGUGAACAUCUUUGUCAUGUUUAUUCCGUGCUGAAGUCGGGCUUGCAAGGACCCACCCCCUCUGCAGAAGCACAGAAGCGCAGGAUACUGCACGUUGCCCCCACCCCCUCCCGAAGAAACAAAAAUAAAAACAACGAAAAGAAAAAAAAUAGUGAGUGAUGGGUCGGCUGAGACACCAGAGAGAAGCGUUCGCCAUGCGGUGAAAGAGGGAGCGGUGAACACAAGCGCCAAGUGGAAAAGCAGGCGCACUGCACGCACAAGUGCUUUUCAAGCCGCGAAAAACAAAAAGAAACAGCAAGGCCCACGCAUAAACCGCGGGGGCGGGGGUGGGGGGGGUGGGGCUGCGGCACUAGCUAAACGCGCACUCGAUGACGGCGACAAAGACUGCACUGAAAUCUUGUCGCGCGCACCCCAAGAGGAUUUUGCGGCUCCCUUCCUUUUUUCUUUCAGCGCCUUGCGCUUGCCGGUGACUGUUUUGCGGCCAUUCAUUCUGGUGUCUGUGCUUCGGUGCCUCAAUGGGCGCGCUUUUCGAAAGAGCCAGCAGCAUGUUGGCCCAGCAAUGGAACGCUUAUGAACCAACUGCAGUGGGACGAUCUCGCGGACCAGCAAGACAGACAAGGACGACGGAGCAAUGGUAAAGGGAAGGGUAAGAAGCGCAGAGUAAAAGAGAUCUAAAUGGAAGCAUCUUUUUCUUUAAUUUCGAGCUCUUCUACGCGUCGCAAGCCGUGAUGGCAGGGGAGGGGGAGGCACACCUCUCAGUGUGUGGUGGUGUCACAAGACUCAGCACCCCUCCCCCACUCUCUGUGUGCUUAGGGAAGCCAAGCAGCCCCUCACCCCCCCCCCCUGCGCCUGCUAAUGCGGGGCCACCUCUGGUGGUGGCAGGGUCCAGAACCCACGACGUGGGGAGGUCAGAGCGAUUCGCCGCUACUGAUGUCGGGGGACCAGGCCUGGAUGGCGUUGCGCCGAAGCGGCCUGCGACGGUGAACACGCCUGCGCCAAUCCAUAUGAUGGGCGGAGUGCCAGCGUGACUCGAGCAUACUCCACCCCGACCCUCGCACUGCCGACUGGUGGUGGUGGUGGGUGGGGGGCCUGAGCCACCCGGAGAGAGACUCGCCAAGUAACGACUGGCACAGUAGGAGCGGCUGUGAGGCGACCUGCAGCACGGGGGGUCGGUAGAGCUUGAGGCCGAGGCGGUGCUCCGAUGACUGAGUCGGCGCAUUGCUGCAGCGCGUGUGUCUACGGCUGCCUUGCACCACGCGAGGUGGGGGCCUGUGGGGCCGGCCAGAGGGGUGGAGUGGUGCUUGGCUCCUGUUGUGUGGCCCAGAAGGGACACGCGUUGGGUGGAGGCGGAGGGGAGUCUUUUGCGCUGAAAAUAUGUUGGUGUCCGCCUUGAGUGUGUUGUGCGCUUCUUUCGUCACGGCACAGUUGCCACGAAUAUGUUUUUCGUGGUCUUGCAGUGUCUGCGUCUUCUUUGUUUCUCCAACCCGUAUCCAGCUGCUGUGCGUACCUCGGUCUCACUUUCACAUCCGCCUCCGCGCUUUUUUUUUCUUUCUUCGUCGAGUGUUUUGCCAUGCCGCUUGUUGUGGGUAUUCUAUAUGCGUGUUUCUCUUGUACGAGUCUUCACGAAUCUCCUUGCUGUUGCCCAACGCAGAGGGGCAAAACACACACACAUAUAUGUGCAUACAUCGAUAUCUUAUGUAUGUCUAUGUAUACGCAGAAAAACAUAAGAAACGAUUCGAAACGGACGUCGAUUUUUUUUUUUCGCGUGCUAGCCUGUUCUUUUUUUUUUUCGGCCCUUGUCUACUCGGCGUGCUUUCUCACUAUCUGCGAUGACGCGUCAGACCUUCCACUAGCGGCUUCCGUUUGCCUGUCUUCUUUUUCCCCCUUUUUUCGUUGGUGUUUUCUAUGUAAACGUGUCCGUUUGGCUUGUGACGCACAGCAGCCGCAACUACAGGAAAGAAACACGCAAGCAAAGACACAGGUGGAAGCGUUGGUCUUCGGCUAAGAUCAGCUCUUUUUCCUUGUGCCUCCCCCUCCCUAUCUUUUUUUUGCUUGUCUUCGCCUUUCUCUCUCUCGACCUGCACGGCUAUGCGUGUCUCUGUCCCUUAUGUUCGUCGAAAGGGUUCCUAGAAGAGGAGAGAGGGAGAGACACAGAGCGUCUCUUAAUGCUGGUGAUAUUUCUCUGGGCAUGUGCACAUGCGCAACGUAUGCCCAUGCGCUCGUUCUGUUGUUUUUAUGCCCUCCUCAUCGAAAAGAGACGAGCCUUCGCCCCUUUCCCGCCCCCUAAAAUCAUGCAGAUGCAAAGAUGUGCUAGGACAACACAGAGAGAUAGUGCAGCGUGCCCCCCACCCCACCCGGAUGCUCAUCUGUGAUGCUAGGACAGCAUGCCGUUUUUUUUUAUAUUUUCGUUGCUUCUUGUACGCAAGCGACAGAGUAGGCACGAAGGAGAAGGCGCCUGCGGGUGUCUGUCUUUGUGCCCUCUCUUUUUUUUUUUGGGGGGGGGCUUCAAUCACUGAAAACAAAAAAAUUCGCGUCUGUGUGUGUCUCCCUUUCCCCUUCGCUUUUGGCUUGUGUUCGGUCUCUUGUUUCAGGCUCUUCCUUCUUCCUUUGUGCGUCCCUGUUGCCGGCGAUUCUCCUCAGUGCUGCUUCUCUCGUGUUUCUCGACGCCCGCUUGUUUCGUGUCUCUUUUUGUUUGUUAACUUAAACUUCGUUUUUGGUGUGCCUUUCUUGUAUUCCACUCCGCCCCCUUUUUCCCUCAACCCCUGUGCUUUUUUUUUCUUUUCCAACUCGGGCUGGUGUGAUUACCUCGCAUCACCCUCCCUCUUUUUAGCUCGUUUUCGUGCUGUUUUCCUCCGCUUUCCCUACACAUGCGGGCAAGCCAUCCAUACACGCCCACCCUCUAUGGCAUCGACGGAAGAUGAAGACAGCAAGCCCCCCACCCUCCACUCCCCGGACAACACUAUCGUCCCGAAGCAAACCCCACAAUCCAAAAAAAAAUGCGAAUGCUGUGCUCACAGGUUGCCAAGCAUAUAGACCGUGAUAUAUAUCAUCCGAACGAGGCAUGCGGAGGUCAGCAGAGUAGAAGUGAUGGGCGAAAAAGGCGCACAGAGGCACACUGAUCAGCCGCAAAGUGCAUGCGUGCGAAGCGUGCGACAUAUCCUGCGUCCGACGCGGUGGGCUGAUGAGGUGCAGCUACCCGAAGCGUGUCGAGAGCUCCCCUGAAUGGCACCAUCGAGUCGGCCAGAGUCGCGUGCGCGGAGCAUUCACACCAUAUUACGGCAUGCGGCGGCUUGAAGCGACCGAGGGAGGGGCAUGGCGUGCAGGCGGAGGACAGGGUCUGAGAGGGCCCUGGGCUGCGGCUGGCCCAUCUCCUCUCGGUGCUCAUGUGAUCCGCGCCUGCACCAGCCCCUGCGGCCUGCACGGCUGACGUCGCCGCCUCCGCCCUCGAGCAGGGCCCUGCACCGGGGUUCGUGUGACGUCGGUCGCGCUGCACGCGUGCGAGGGCGAUACACGGAAGGACAAGGCGGGCUCGCUAGACGCAUGGACCGACUCGACGGCGGCCGACUCGGCGUGGACGGCCCGGAUGUAGCCGUGGUGCGGCAGGGGUGGGUGGGCCGCGGCUGCGUGCGUACACGUGUCGACCCGGCCGUGGUGGAGUGAGACGUUGACUAAAGAAAAAGUAGACCGCUUCAAUCCUUUGCCUCUGCUGGGCUCUCUUGCUCACUGCAUGACGCCUUCGCGCAUUUUCUUUGGCAGACUUGCAUGCGUGCGCUCGCCACAACGUGGGGAGGGCGCAUAGUUUUCAAUACGCUAAUGUGCGCAUCUUGUCUCGUUCGGCGACCGUCUCGCUCGACCCGCCCCCCUGUCGUACAAAAUCAUAGGCAGAAGAAGAAGCGUAGGCAGACAGCUCAGCAUGUGAGCGCGGGCGUGGGCUUGCUGGUAUGUGGGGAGGAGGGAUCGAAAAGAACGGAGUUGCGACCAGGACGGCAAAGACAGGACAGUGGUUUGAAGAAAAGGGAUAGAAAUUCUCCGGCCUCGUUGCAUUGCUGGUUUUUUCUUUAUUUUUCCUUUUGUUUGCAUGUGCGCGUGUGCGGAUGUGUGGUGAGUGGAUGUGGUUUCGUGCUCCCCUCACCUGCGAUAAUCAAGCGGGCUUCUCUUUUUCAGUGCCUUGUAAUGUAUAUGUUUCCGUUUUUUCUUUGUGCCUUAUUCGGAGAAUAAGGGUCUCGUUUCUCUCCUUCGCUUGGCCACCUUUCAAUGGGGGCUGUCGAGUCUUCGCUUUACUGGAUUAUUUCCUCCCAGUGUGUGUCUGCAGCGAGUGCUGGAUUACGGGAAAGGAAGGGGGUGAAAAACGAACGAAGAUAUCGACGGACCAUCUCCCCACCCCGCUCCCAGUAAAAGCCCUUCGACUUUUUGUUUUUCUGUUCUCUCUGUACUCUAGUUGACAUUGUCGAGAGCAGCAGCUGCAACACUUUAGAUCGGGUGUUGUUUCUUCUCAUUUCUUUACCCACAUGACCCUUUCACCGGCAUUGUAUCAGCAUAUCUCAGUGCAUAUACAUGCGUGCAACCCACAGAGACACGCCGCCGCAAAAAAAAAAGGACAGACAGACUCGCCGACGCGCAGCAGUGGUUGAGAGGGCUGCACGACUUGUCUUAGACAGAUGACGAAGGAAGAGAAGGAAACGGAGGCGGUAGAGGAGUGACAGAGACACGAGGAAGAGAGUGAUAGCUAUAAAACCCCCUCCCCCUCCUCCAUGCACCCACGCACUACCGUCUCCUAAUCCUCGUCUACUUCAGACCUCCUCCUCUCUUCCUCAUCUACCUUUUCUUUUUUUCUUCUGUGACGGACACCUAUGCCCACAUGACGUGCUCAACACAGUCAGCAAAGAAGGGCGGGUUGGGUGGGUGGGCGGGAGGGAGGAAUAGCACACGCUUGAACGGACACUUUCACACAAAGGAAGGAUGGAUAUUGGGUACGCACAUACACACACACAGUUGCAUAUAUACAUGCAUGCACACACUCAUAUGCUUUUAUGGAGUAUACAUGCGCGUAUGCAUGCGUGCGUGUGUGUGUGUGUGUGCCUCCUCUGGUCCCUCCCCUCCCGCCCCUGCCUUUUUUCUUGUCUCCUUUUUUGGCAUGCCUUCGCUUGGCCAUUAUGUAGACUGUCUUCUUCCUUUUAUUCGCCUUUGCUCGCGUUCUCUUCCCCCUCUCGUGUGCGUGUGCUUACUAUCACUCUUCUGCCGAGUGUAGAUGGUCGACGACUGCGGCGACCGCGAGGCGAACAACAUACGGGCGAACCCGUAAGAAAGAACGAAAUGAAGAAACAAGGGUGGCGGGGGGCACUAAAACUUCCUCUUUCCCUUCAUAAGUGUUGCAGGAUAACGUCGAACAC
Molecule: unclassified non-coding RNA, 6947 nt
Filed under: Leishmania donovani
Lineage: Eukaryota; Euglenozoa; Kinetoplastea; Trypanosomatida; Trypanosomatidae
Description: gene:LdHU3.34.1730(CDS-product:amastin-like_prote in)
Source: RNAcentral